GAUGAACGCUAGCGGCAGGCUUAACACAUGCAAGUCGAGGGGCAGCGCGGGAUAGCAAUAUCCUGGCGGCGACCGGCGGAAGGGUGCGUAACGCGUGAGCGACAUGCCCGUUGCCCGGGGACAACCGGUGGAAACGCCGACUAAUCCCCGAUGGGAUAUUGUUCCGCAUGGCACGAUAUUGAAAGUUACGGCGGCGACGGAUUGGCGCGCGUCCGCUUAGCUUGUUGGCGGGGUAACGUCCCCCCAAGGCUGCGAUCGGUAGGGGUUCUGAGAGGAAGGCGCCCCACAAUGGGAUUGGGACACGGCCCAUACUCCUACGGGAGGAAGCAGUGAGGAAUAUUGGUCAAUGGGAGGAAGCCUGAACCAGCCAUGGCGCGUGCGGGAAGGAGGCCCUAUGGGCUGUGAACCGCUGUUGCCUGGGGGCAAUAAGGGCGUCACGAACGUCCGAUGAGAGUACCAGGCGAAUAAGCAUCGGCUAACUCCGUG
RNAcentral lists this ribosomal RNA (486 nucleotides) under uncultured bacterium. Its description in RNAcentral is "partial 16S ribosomal RNA". It matches the Rfam family "Bacterial small subunit ribosomal RNA", at positions 28 to 507 of the family's 1533-position model. The record is from RNAcentral.